This 550-nucleotide ribosomal RNA is filed under the name uncultured bacterium. RNAcentral describes it as "bacterial SSU rRNA". It matches the Rfam family "Bacterial small subunit ribosomal RNA", at positions 365 to 908 of the family's 1533-position model. The record is from RNAcentral.
UCCGCAAUGGGCGAAAGCCUGACGGAGCGACGCCGCGUGGAGGACGAAGGCCUUCGGGUUGUAAACUCCUGUCACGGAUUAAGAAUGGCUUGGUGUUAACAGCAUCAAGUUUGACGUAAGUCCGAGAGGAAGCACUGGCUAACUCUGUGCCAGCAGCCGCGGUAAUACAGAGAGUGCAAACGUUGUUCGGAAUUACUGGGCUUAAAGCGCACGUAGGCGGCUCCGCAAGUGUCGGGUGAAAUCCCACGGCUUACCCGUGGAACUGCCCGGCAGACUGCGGAGCUAGAGGAUGGUAGGGGAGAGCGGAACUCCUGGUGGAGCGGUGAAAUGCGUAGAUAUCAGGAGGAACACCGGUGGCGAAGGCGGCUCUCUGGUCCAUAACUGACGCUGAGGUGCGAAAGCUAGGGGGGCAAACGGGAUUAGAUGCCCCGGUAGUCCUAGCUGUAAACGAUGGGCACUAACUUGGGGUCUCCCUGUGUGAUCCCAGGUGUAGCAAAAGUGAUAAGUGCCCCGCCUGGGGAGUAUGGUCGCAAGGCUGAAACUCAAAGGA